GGCUUCACCGAAAGCACACGCUCAGCGGCCUUCCCGGCGAGCGCGCAGCCCCAGUGAACCUAUGGCUCAGCAUUUUCAGAAGAAAGCCUGUCGGCAUAGACUUUCCGUGAUUUCAAAGGAGACGCUUCCAAAACCAAGGUCUUGACCUAGAUUUGGAAGCGAUCCCUCCAGAGCUUACAUUUGGAGACCGGUAGAGACCGGGCCUGUUGGGACAACAGCUCCGAGGGCUACGCUGCGUGGACUAGGUUCCAGACGCGCUCUGAGGAGGCGCCUCCCGGCUAGUUCCUGAGCGCGCUCGAGAGGAGCGUGCCCCGCAGGAGGGAUUUCGCUGCCUGUGGGGCUUCAGUGCUGAACCAGGCAGCCCUGAGCAGACCAGGACCGAGCUUCCCAAACCUGACCGGGAAGGAGCCCUGGUUGCAUCUGGGAUCCACGUGGUCGACAGAGAAUCAGCUCGCAGCUCACCACCCCAGUGACUUCAGGGCAGCCCACCUUCCCCUGGCGCUCCUCAAACGAGCCAGGGAGUGGCCCCUGCUCAGACUCCCCUCCUGCCUCCCGGACCCUGCAGGCCUACCCGCCCCAGUUGCCCUUUGCCCUCCUGCAGCCUUCUGGGGGUGCUACAUGUCUGAGGCCCGGUCUUCUGUCCUGCUCCUCCUGAUGGGGGGUCUGGGCACUCUCCCUAAUUCAUCGCGAAGACUCUGACACCCAAUGCCCGUCUUCAGGCCCCGGCAGAUGCAGAGAAGUGGGCUUCACACCCACAUCUGCCUGACCUCAGGUGCUGGCUCCUGCAGUCACAGCCCUGAGCCCCGGCCCCUCCAGGCUGUCUCCUGCUUGUCCAGGUGGGCAUGAGCUGGUCAGUUCCUGGCCACUGCCCUUCAGACCCCAUGCCAGGACUUUGGGUUGGGCUCUGGGCAUGGCACUAGCCAGGCCUGGGUGCCUCCUUGAGCAGCUGAGGGCUGGGAGGGAUGACAAUGUAAGCGGCUAUCUGGCUUCAGGCCCAGGCUGGCCAUCUGGUGGCCAUAGCUCUCACAGGCUGGGCCCCUGCUUCUCCUGGCUCCCCUCUUAGGGGCAGGAGACCCUCAGUGGCCUCACUGCGGACUGCUGGACAGGCCCUGUGUGGAGGCACCAUCCGGGUCCGCCAUGCCUCGUGGGUCAGAACAUCCCUGUGAAGUGCAUGGUGUUUUCUGUGGCUGCCACAGGAGGCUCUGGCCAG
Molecule: long non-coding RNA, 1210 nt
Filed under: Homo sapiens (human)
Lineage: Eukaryota; Metazoa; Chordata; Mammalia; Primates; Hominidae
Description: non-protein coding lnc-SNAP47-1:2
Source: RNAcentral